CCGAGUUUACAACUCCCAAACCCCUUGUGAACAUACCUAUUGUUGCCUCGGCGGUGCCUGUUCCGACAGCCCGCCAGAGGACCCAAACCCUUGAAUACAUUAAAGAAUUUCUUCUGAGUAACCGAUUAAAUAAAUCA
This 137-nucleotide unclassified non-coding RNA is filed under the name uncultured Neonectria. Its description in RNAcentral is "sequence contains ITS1". The record is from RNAcentral. Lineage: Eukaryota; Fungi; Ascomycota; Sordariomycetes; Hypocreales; Nectriaceae.